This is a non-coding RNA of Malus domestica (apple), 707 nucleotides long. The record is from RefSeq and is a predicted model, not a curated record. NCBI's taxonomy places the organism in Eukaryota, Viridiplantae, Streptophyta, Magnoliopsida, Rosales, Rosaceae.
CCAUGGAUUUAAAUAUCGAUAUUAUCGGCGAAAUAUCGCCGAUAAUAUCGAUUUUUCGGGGAAUGGAUAUUUAAAUAGGUAUCCGUGUGGUUUUCGUCCAAAUAUCGCGAUAUUAUCGAUAAUAUCGAAAAUAUCGCGAUAUUCGUCGUCGUCGCCGCCGCCGGGAGGUGAGAAAGGGAGGAGGAAACCACAGGUGGUGGGUACGAGCUGAACAACAGCAAAAUCACGUCCCCCGGGGUGUAGAGAGAUCGUAAAAAGGCCCCAAGCAACUCGGCGGAGUUGCAGAGAAGAGAUGGGGGGGAGAACCGGAGAAGGAUCGAGUUCGAGAGACUGAGGGAGAAGAAGAAGGAUGGAGAGAUUGAGGGAAGGAUCCAGAUCGAGAUCGAGAUUCGAGAGAGACUGAGGUGAUGAGGUGACCCAGCAUAUUGGACGGACUACGAAGAGACCGGACCGAGGGAGAGAAGGAGACGGAGAGACCGAGGGAGAGACGGAGACGGAAGGCUCUGUGUUCUCUGCUUGUUGUGUGUGCGUGUGAAGGAGACGGAGAGACCGAGGGAGAGAAGGAGAGUGAUGUGGGCAAGAGAGAGAGAGAGACAAUGAUAGAAAUUUGUGUGGUGUGGGUGCGUUUAGGGAAGAGAGAAAGAUGAGUGGAUGUCCCGUGCUUUUGUUGGUAAAGCAACUCUUAAUUAAUACAUUCAUCUUUUUAA